CCAGCCUUUUUCCGGCUGGAAGUGUGAUUUCUGUGAGUGUUGAGGUUAGACGGGAAGUGGUGUUGUGUAGAGAAUGGGGGGCGAGGCGCACCGCGAGUCGGCAGGCGAGGCGCGAGGCUCGCGGCGCUCGGCUGGAGGACCUGGCACAUCGUAAAUACUUACAUCUUAGUUGAUUGGAUGAAUGCUGUAGCAUUUGAGCUAAAUCAUGAAGAAUGAAUAGGAUUUCAAAUGACUUAAGGCAAGGGGAAUACCAGCCAGAGCGAAAGCAGAAUCAUGAAAGUGCAUGAGGUCAAGGAUGCAUUCCAAGACAGUUCUAAAAAUAUGUCACCAACUCCAACCUUACAGUUGACCUAGCCAUGGAAAACCUCAUUGGAACCUGAUGAGAUCAGACAAUACUGGCACUCUUAAAAACCCUUCCCAUCAAAAAGUAUCAGGAAUGAAAAUCAGGAAUGAUAUAUACCUACCACUUCAAGAAAGUCUCUGUAUCAGCCAGCAGUUUAGCAGAUCAGCUAGUUUCUUUGGUCAUCAAGCAGACAUAGUCAAGCCACUAACACAAAAGAGGAAAACGUCUCUGUGUCAGUGUUUUUCACAUUAUGCAUGUGACCCAUUUAGUAGGUCAUGAAAUCAAUUUUGUGAGUCAUGACGAACAUUUUUAAAAACAAAAUAAAAUAUAAAAUAUCA
Lagenorhynchus albirostris (white-beaked dolphin) is the source of this 681-nucleotide long non-coding RNA. RefSeq lists it as uncharacterized. The record is from RefSeq and is a predicted model, not a curated record. NCBI's taxonomy places the organism in Eukaryota, Metazoa, Chordata, Mammalia, Artiodactyla, Delphinidae. The transcript has 3 exons.